GUAGACGUUAGCUCUGUAGUUAGAGCACAGACCUCUGGCUCUCGGGUCCGCGAGUUCGAGUCCCGUCGUCUACU
Nasonia vitripennis (jewel wasp) is the source of this 74-nucleotide non-coding RNA. Lineage: Eukaryota; Metazoa; Arthropoda; Insecta; Hymenoptera; Pteromalidae. The record is from Rfam.